CUUCCCCAAGGGCAUGCCACAUGUUCCCUCAAUUGUGUCUUGACUUUCCCUAGGAAGAACUUUUCACUUUGAUGACACGCUCCAGUCAGUGGGGACAAAUUCUUCCUUAUUGCGGAAUAUGGAAAGGUUCCUCUUGAUGGUGCCCACUAAUGGUGAUGGAGGUACUUUUGAGCAAGAGAAGUUCACCACUAGGAACUACUGUCUCCCAGCCUUAGUGAUUGGGGUACUGAUACCCACGUGGAAAGCUUGCUGAGUGUAAGCUUUGGUUUGUGCUCUGACACACGCUCUAAAUUUUUGUCUUAAAUGAAUCAUAGUCAGAAGAGACCUUUUCUGUUUCAGUGUAGAACUGAUGUUUUUUUCUUCUGCAAUAGAGACUGAGGAGAAGGCAGGAAUGGGACUUUAGCUCAUGAGAUAACUCACCUGGCCUAGCCUUUCUUCAUUGUGGCUGCCCCGGUUCUGGUUCUAAAUUCCUCUCCUUGAGGAACCUGAUUUCCUUAAAUGGGCUACAGAAAGUGUUAUUCCAAGGAACUAGUAGUACAAGUAAGGCAAAAACAAUAAUUCAUUCUGUAAAACGUCCAUCUCCUUCACAGGAAACUCCAUGUGUCUCCCCCCAAUCAUAUACCCCCCCAAGUCUUGGAUCUAAGCACAAUAACAAUGGUCUAAAGUGUG
Molecule: long non-coding RNA, 669 nt
Organism: Suricata suricatta (meerkat)
Lineage: Eukaryota; Metazoa; Chordata; Mammalia; Carnivora; Herpestidae
Exons: 2
Source: RefSeq, a predicted model, not a curated record